AGCUUUGUGCAGUGGCAGUAUCAUAGCUAAUGAAGUUAUUCUGAGGUGUGAUUAUUGCUAGUUGAAAACUUUUCCCCUAGAAUCCGUAAUGAAUGGACUAAGCCUUUUUCCUGCAGAAUUCUGAGGUUUUGUUGUCAGA
This is a small nuclear RNA of Terrapene triunguis (Three-toed box turtle), 139 nucleotides long. Its record names the gene U4. It matches the Rfam family "U4 spliceosomal RNA". From Rfam's summary of the family: U4 small nuclear RNA (U4 snRNA) is a component of the major U2-dependent spliceosome. The structure of U4 snRNA from yeast and human has been reported. The record is from Ensembl. NCBI's taxonomy places the organism in Eukaryota, Metazoa, Chordata, Testudines, Emydidae.